Dermacentor albipictus is the source of this 373-nucleotide long non-coding RNA. RefSeq lists it as uncharacterized. The record is from RefSeq and is a predicted model, not a curated record. NCBI's taxonomy places the organism in Eukaryota, Metazoa, Arthropoda, Arachnida, Ixodida, Ixodidae.
GUGAUACAGCCCGUGGAAAAGACACAGUCUAAAACAUUUACGGCGCAAUGAAAGCUCCGGUAAUAUACCUGAAACGUACAGGACAACCAUACAGGCCGGCCUUCCAGAAUAGUCCCGUAAAAAAGCAAAUGGUCGCCCAGAUGAGCCAACGCGGAAAACGAGUGACUGCCUGCGAGCGCUGUAGCGAGGACAAUGGAAAUAACAAGGCCCAACGCACUCCGUGUCCUUAGAGAUCCUCUAACACCCUCCCCGCCCCUCCCCCUUCCCCAGCGCACAAGCUGCGCAUGCGCCGUCAGUGGACUGCAUGAUAACAGCGGCGGCGCCGACGGCGUGAAUGCACCUCUACCGGCAAUUUAAUUCAUGUAGAAAUAAA